Molecule: long non-coding RNA, 590 nt
Organism: Coffea arabica (coffee)
Lineage: Eukaryota; Viridiplantae; Streptophyta; Magnoliopsida; Gentianales; Rubiaceae
Source: RefSeq, a predicted model, not a curated record
UAUGGAUUUUGGACUAUUACAGUUUCAGAAGGAAAGUAGGUAUUACAUAAUUAAUAGUCCUUGGAAUUUAUAAACCAUUGAACUUACAUAUGACUGGAGAAAGAAGGGAAGGAACGAUCGUACCCAAGGCAUAAAGAAAAACUGUUGUUCCCAGCUGUUGCUCACAAUGCAGAGUUCAGUUGCUUUCGUUCUGCUUCUGGUGUUCUCCAAUUUGUUCUCCACUGGCUUGAGUUUGACGCAAGAGACCGAGUACACUUGCGCCAAGUCUUUUGAUCUCCCGGUAUGUGACAAGUUUGCCUGUGUCCAGAUAUGCGUGAAAGAAGGUGAUGGAUGGGAAAACGGGGCAUGCAUCGGCCAACAUAAAUGCUGCUGCAAGUUCCUUUAUAGGCACUAUUAGUUCCCCUUCACUCACAAAUGAUGUUGCAUCAUCUCAUCUGAGAUGAUCAAUCCUUCUUCUUCUUUUUUUUUGGUUUGUUUUUGGCGCAAGAGGAUAAUAAAUCGUAUCCUGGACUUGCAUGUGGGAUAUUUUUAGAUGGACUAGCAAUGUUGAUCAAUCCAUUGGGAACAAUAAUGUCAAAUUUUCUUGUGCA